UCUUGCCCCUUUUAAAACCAUAAAUUCUGUUUAGGAUUACAUGCCAAGUUGAUUUAAAGUAGUUGCUCAAUCAAAAGAAAGUGUUGACUCUGAAUUUUGGUGAUUUGUAAUGUUCUGAAGCAAGAUAUAACCCGUUUUCAUGGACAAAAUGAGAUUUUCCACCCUUCUAAUUUAGACUAUCAUUUUUUAUUUUUUAUUUUUAUUUUUUAUUUUUAUUUUAAUUAUUGGUAUUAUGGGAAAAUCAUUCUUUGUUUUGUUCAUUGGCCUGUUUUUAUUUUAUUUUAUCCCUCCCAUUUUUUAAAGGAAUCUUUGAUUGCUUCAAAUGUAACUUACGUGAUGUCCUUUGGAGCUUCUGUCCAGUCUGUGCACCACUCUAGGUCAUAACCAUAUAUAAUUCAUUAAUAAUGUUUAACCAAACCCUAGCAAGGCAUAGAGGCUGAGCCCCACAUUCUUUAGGCACUGAGGAUUCCCACUGAAGCUCUGAAUGUAGGAUUCAGCCCUCUAUAGCAAACAUAUGUCAAUACACAGAUGGUCAUAACAGCAGCAUUUUCCCACAGACAUUCACUUGAUAUUUGGAAGCUAACCCUCUUCCAUUUGUACUCAGCCUUUUUUUUUUUUUUUUUGUUCACCCAAGUAUUCCAGGCAAUUUAACCCACAGGCAGAAAAUUUUCCCCGAGGAUGAUGCACAGAUACGAUAGCAAAAGGAACCCAAAAAAUAAGCUGGGAAAGAGAUUAGUGAGCCAGAUGGACAGAUGGACUGAUAGCUUGAUAUGCAGAAAUAGUUUGUGUGGAGCAAAUUCAGGAGGAUGUUCAGAGAACACAGACUAUAGCUUAUAAACGGGAAGAGUUCAAAGUGGAAACCUGUUAUUCCAAGAUAGGCAUGUGUAGGCUGGAAAAUAAAAGGUCAAUAGACAGACACCAAAGGAAUGUACUGAUAUUUCUGGUCACAGUCCCAAGUUAUGCUCUUAGAGAAGUGUUAACUGUGGUGUUCUGGCUUAAUUCCAACUUAUAUUCAGCCUACCUAAAAAGGUACUUUCAGGUAGAAAGGUUAUCCUUCAUUUCCUCUCUGGAGACCCACGACACAUGCUAA
RNAcentral lists this long non-coding RNA (1090 nucleotides) under Anas platyrhynchos platyrhynchos (common mallard). RNAcentral's name for it is "lncRNA (ENSAPLG00000019883.1)". The record is from RNAcentral. Lineage: Eukaryota; Metazoa; Chordata; Aves; Anseriformes; Anatidae.